RNAcentral lists this long non-coding RNA (2084 nucleotides) under Capsicum annuum. RNAcentral's name for it is "long non-coding RNA (CANN_LNC018420)". Lineage: Eukaryota; Viridiplantae; Streptophyta; Magnoliopsida; Solanales; Solanaceae. The record is from RNAcentral.
UAGAAAAUAAAUUAAAGUUCUGAAAAUAAAUCAAAUGUGCUAAAAAAAUUAGUUAAACACGUUAUAAGUUAAAGUUGAUAUGCUCGAAGUCGAUUUUAAUUUGUAAAGUUAAUUAUUAACCUAAAACAUGCUUUCUAGGCGACAAACAUAUCAUUUAAUAAUUCCUAAAUUACAUUUGCCUAAGUGAUUCACAUAAUCACGUAAAGCCCGUAAACCCCGCCCCCUACCAGUCCCAUAAUUUUUAUUAUCAAUACGUCAUUUGUACAAUAAAUUAUUUCAGACCCAUAGAAAAAAAGCGCAAAAGAGAUUAAAAAAAACAUAAGAAACUAGACAACAUUUCCAAUUUCUCGGUGAGUCUUCAUCCACGCCGAAGGCUAGAUAGUAUCUGUAGGACAAAGGCAGCUUAUCCCAAAUGCACAACAAACAAACAUAUGGAGAAACAAUGAAUUCACCAACAUGUCACAUAAACAACUUUAUAGAGUUUAGAAGGCAAACAGGACAGACACUCAAAAUUAUCAUGUAAUAAGCAAAUGCGUCGUCUAAGGAAACUAACCAGUUUGUAGCAAUAAGCAGUUAAAUAAAAGUCUGAAAAUCAGCACUUUGACCUACACACAGCAGUUGUAGUGAAUAAGACACCGAUCCAAAAUUCCUUUUAAUAAUACUUACCUGAGACAAAAGAACUGAAGAGUAUUUUUAUUUCUUUUGUAUAGAGCAAAGAUAGUUAAAAACUUGGUCUUGUAAUAGCCGAUGAAAAAGUAGAUGAAAAGGGAAGAUGAGGGGGUUCACAUAGCUAAACAACAAUAACAACACAACCAGUAUAUUUCCACAAAGUACGGUGAUUUAUAUAGCUAAGGGUCAGGAAAAUAAAAGGAAGGAGAUUAUUUUAUAGAUCAAUUAAGAAAAAAUAAACAUCUCCGAUUUACCUUAAAAGACAAGUCAGAAUAUAUAUUCAAAUUCAAGAGUAGGGUAAAAAUAUUAAUCAAGCUGUAAAAAUAGGGAUACAGAUGGAUAUUUUCCAUAUACAAUUAAAAACACAGUCACAUCAAACUGGUACAAAACAGGUCCAAUUUACCAUAAUUCAGAGUAACCAUCUACUCAGAAUAAAAUCCAGAUGCUUAGCAGGCAAAAAUCACAAUAUACCAAAAGAAUUAAUAUACUAUUGUAAUUAUGCGAGUAAUUCAAUCAACCGAGUCAAAUUUUUAGAAUCAAAGUUGUGAGGUUACCACGACAGUAGACAAUGGAAUUGCAUGCCUAGGAAAAUCGAUCCCUAAUAUUAAAUAAAAUCUAGGGUUGACGAAAAUUCACAAAAAUUAGGCAUUCUUGCAUAUGUUGAUCUAAACACAUAAACACAUACGAAAUUGAAAGAAUCAAUUCAAAAUUCACAGUCAUAUUUCAUUAAUUUUUAAAUCCAAAGAAAAAAAUCAGUCAGGGGAAAAAUGGGUAGAAAGAGGAAAUUCACAUAUAGCAACAAGCCUGAGACGGAUUCCGAGAUUCAUCAUGGACUUUACUCUUUUUCGACGUCAGUUGGCCGUAGUUUGGAAUAGCAUCGUGGGUAUGGUGUUGUUUUCCAGCGGAGAAUGAUAGACACUUUCCGAAACCCUGUUAGAAAGGUGGCGGCGAUAGGCGGUUCACUGGCUACCGAUGAACGGAGCGACGACUUUUAUUGGAGUUUUGUCAAUUGAGUGGCAACCAUUGGUUGAAGGCAGCGACUGGGAACAUAGAAGUGGGGGCGAGUGUGGUCGCCUUCAACAGCUAGAGCGAAGCAAGGAAGACAGAAGGCUCCGGAGUGGCUCGCUGACCUAAGUCUCAGCUGGAGAAGGAUAUGGUGCUAUCGGAUUCUAGAGAGAAAGAGAGAAAGAGAGGAGAGAAGGGGUUGGCGAUGGGUGGACUGUUGUUGUGGUGGUGGCGCCGGAGGUAAAGAGAAAGGGGGAGAGAGAAAAGGAGAAAAAAUAAAGAGGGCGGUGACAACAAUCAUGGCUGUUGCUGUUAAGGCCAUGGUGUUGAUAGAGGGGGAAGAGAGAGAGGAGAGGGAGGUGCAGUUGUGAGGGAUGAAAUGGUUAGGCUUUGGGGUAAUUGGGUAUAAA